CCUACGGGUGGCUGCAGUGGGGAAUAUUGGACAAUGGGGGGAACCCUGAUCCAGCCAUGCCGCGUGUGUGAAGAAGGCCCUCGGGUUGUAAAGCACUUUCAGUGAGGAAGAACGCCUGGUGGUUAAUACCCAUCAGGAAAGACAUCACUCACAGAAGAAGCACCGGCUAACUCCGUGCCAGCAGCCGCGGUAAUACGGAGGGUGCGAGCGUUAAUCGGAAUUACUGGGCGUAAAGCGCGCGUAGGUGGCUUGAUAAGCCGGUUGUGAAAGCCCCGGGCUCAACCUGGGAACGGCAUCCGGAACUGUCAAGCUAGAGUGCAGGAGUGGAAGGUAGAAUUCCCGGUGUAGCGGUGAAAUGCGUAGAGAUCGGGAGGAAUACCAGUGGCGAAGGCGGCCUUCUGGACUGACACUGACACUGAGGUGCGAAAGCGUGGGUAGCAAACAGGAUUAGAUACCCUGGUAGUC
Molecule: ribosomal RNA, 465 nt
Filed under: Vreelandella stevensii
Lineage: Bacteria; Pseudomonadati; Pseudomonadota; Gammaproteobacteria; Oceanospirillales; Halomonadaceae
Description: partial 16S ribosomal RNA
Rfam family: Bacterial small subunit ribosomal RNA
Source: RNAcentral